RNAcentral lists this ribosomal RNA (749 nucleotides) under uncultured bacterium. Its description in RNAcentral is "bacterial SSU rRNA". It matches the Rfam family "Bacterial small subunit ribosomal RNA", at positions 8 to 748 of the family's 1533-position model. The record is from RNAcentral.
AGAGUUUGAUCAUGGCUCAGAUUGAACGCUGGCGGCAGGCCUAACACAUGCAAGUCGAGCGGUAGCACAGAGAGCUUGCUCUCGGGUGACGAGCGGCGGACGGGUGAGUAAUGUCUGGGAAACUGCCUGAUGGAGGGGGAUAACUACUGGAAACGGUAGCUAAUACCGCAUAACGUCGCAAGACCAAAGUGGGGGACCUUCGGGCCUCAUGCCAUCAGAUGUGCCCAGAUGGGAUUAGCUAGUAGGUGGGGUAACGGCUCACCUAGGCGACGAUCCCUAGCUGGUCUGAGAGGAUGACCAGCCACACUGGAACUGAGACACGGUCCAGACUCCUACGGGAGGCAGCAGUGGGGAAUAUUGCACAAUGGGCGCAAGCCUGAUGCAGCCAUGCCGCGUGUGUGAAGAAGGCCUUCGGGUUGUAAAGCACUUUCAGCGGGGAGGAAGGCGAUAAGGUUAAUAACCUUGUCGAUUGACGUUACCCGCAGAAGAAGCACCGGCUAACUCCGUGCCAGCAGCCGCGGUAAUACGGAGGGUGCAAGCGUUAAUCGGAAUUACUGGGCGUAAAGCGCACGCAGGCGGUCUGUCAAGUCGGAUGUGAAAUCCCCGGGCUUAACCUGGGAACUGCAUUCGAAACUGGCAGGCUAGAGUCUUGUAGAGGGGGGUAGAAUUCCAGGUGUAGCGGUGAAAUGCGUAGAGAUCUGGAGGAAUACCGGUGGCGAAGGCGGCCCCCUGGACAAAGACUGACGCUC